RNAcentral lists this unclassified non-coding RNA (240 nucleotides) under Hygrocybe sp. RNAcentral's name for it is "partial contains 5.8S ribosomal RNA, internal transcribed spacer 2, and large subunit ribosomal RNA". Lineage: Eukaryota; Fungi; Basidiomycota; Agaricomycetes; Agaricales; Hygrophoraceae. The record is from RNAcentral.
AACGCACAUUGCGCCCGCCGGUAACCCGGCGGGCACACCUGUCCGAGCGUCAUAUAACCACUCUCCCCCCAGGAGGUGUUGGGGACCGCUUUAAGCGCCCCCUAAUUCCAUCGGCGGGACAAUUAGGCCCUAGGCGAAGUAAAAUAAAAUCUAGCCCAGUAAAGCCUAUGCGACCCUGCUACUUCCUACCACACAAAAACGGUUGACCUCGGAUCAGGUGGGAAUACCCGCUGAACUUAA